AACAACCUGAGAUGUACGGAAAAGUAGCUUAUUAUAUUCAACCUACAUUACUUUGACGGGAUUUGCGAUAUAUUUAUAGAUAUUGGACUUCAGUAAUUUGUAAUAAGUAUUUAAUUUAUUACAGCAGAAGAUAAUAGAAGCAAAUUGAGCGAAGCCCACCUGCGAGACGCAGGUUAUGAAUAUAUAAGUGAACGGCAUGUUGGGCUAUUA
RNAcentral lists this non-coding RNA (210 nucleotides) under Clostridium sp. RNAcentral describes it as "6S RNA". It matches the Rfam family "6S / SsrS RNA". Rfam says of the family: E. coli 6S RNA was the first non coding RNA to be sequenced, but its function was unknown until recently. It consists of 184 nucleotides that fold into an extended hairpin structure with a large single-stranded internal bulge. The 6S RNA specifically associates with RNA polymerase holoenzyme containing the sigma70 specificity factor. The record is from RNAcentral. Lineage: Bacteria; Bacillati; Bacillota; Clostridia; Eubacteriales; Clostridiaceae.